This 252-nucleotide ribosomal RNA is filed under the name uncultured bacterium. Its description in RNAcentral is "partial 16S ribosomal RNA". It matches the Rfam family "Bacterial small subunit ribosomal RNA", at positions 524 to 776 of the family's 1533-position model. The record is from RNAcentral.
UACAGAGGGUGCAAACGUUGUUCGGAAUUACUGGGCGUAAAGCGCGUGUAGGCGGCUUUGCAAGUCGGGUGUGAAAGCCCUCAGCUUAACUGAGGAAGUGCGCCCGAAACUGCAGAGCUUGAGUACCGGAGAGGAUGGCGGAUUCCCCAAGUAGAGGUGAAGUUCGUAGAUAUGGGGAGGAACACCGGUGGCGAAGGCGGCCAUCUGGACGGAUACUGACGCUGAGACGCGAAAGCGUGGGUAGCAAACAGG